GGAAUAGCGCCUUCUCCUCAGGCAGAAAUCGGAAGAGUGUACGAAAGGGAAUGGCACCUUUGCCUCAGGAGGGAUAUUGCACAUAUCCACGAAGGAACUGAUGCAGGCAUGCACAGAUGCUCAGAAAAAUGCUAAGGAGGACGAAUUUUAAUGGAAGAGGGCUAGGAACACCGAGCCUGAACAGCUCCUUGCUCUUGAGGUUGGUGCCAUUACAUCUUCUUGGGCCAAGCUGGAUGAGGACAGAGUCCUGCUCCCAGGUAACCCUGCCCAGCACCAGGACUCAGCUCAGGGAAGAGGCAUUUGCUCAGCCUCCUGUAUAUUAUACUAUUUACACAGCCAUUGGUUGCACCCCAUUGCCAGCUGGGCAGGUGAUGGGGUGUUUUUGACACAAGGGACUCUCCCACUGGUACCAUUUAAAAAAAUACAAUUCAUACUUUUAAAAAAUUUAAACUAAUUUCCUUUCCUGAUUCUGUUCACUGUCCUUGCGAAUACAGCAACGUUUGAUUUACCACCACCUACACAAAGAGAUCAAACCUUUGCAUUUGCCAGGGUUUAACCACUUCACACAGCAGAGAAAGGGCUGCCCUCUGGCACCAGCUGGCACGUGGUGUCCCUGUCCCCCAUGUGUGCCCCUAUGUCACCCAUGGGCGAUGCCGGGCACACACUGACUCACAAGGCUGCACCAUGCCAGGACAACCCAACCUCCACAGUGUCAGGUUGGUGGUUGAUCUCUGGAGGGGACAAACCCUCUCUUUGGUGUCAGGAGCUCCUCUGCCCACCCUGGGCAUGGGGAAGGAGCAGCUCUGGCAGCCCCCAGCAUCCUCCUUGCCUUGUCCCUCCCAAGGAACUGAGCCUUUUUGGCUCCACUCAUCCUUUGGACGUUCUGUGGCUGGAAUGGCGCUGGAGGAGCUGGGGGCAGCUCAGGAGCAUCUCAAGUGCUCUACUGGGGAAGUGCUCUAUUGGGGUUUCCCCACAGGUGCUCCUGAUAGCUGGGUGGGCUUUGGGACAAGACAGUGAUGUCCAGGUUCCCACCUCCCAAGGGUGUUCUGUGCUGCUUGUGCCAGCACACGCUGUAGAUCAUCCUGCUGGGAAUCAGCCUUGGGGAGCAGCACACUGAUGCGACACAAGGGUGCUCUAGCCCCAGCUCUGGAAUCUGCGUACCCCAUCCCUUCAAACACAGGAUGGAGCAGUGCCCAAAUCAGCCCUGGAAGGUAGUGGUGCCAGGGAGCCACAGGGCAUCAUGCUGCUUAUCUGUGACAGCCCCAACAAUCUUUAAAGUAAAAAACCACAACACAAAUCUCUGCCACACAAAUUCACACUGGAGCCCCCAAAAGUAAAGCUCAUAACACCAGUGAAGCAUCGUGCUUCAUGUGGGGCUGGGUGGGAGAGGCAGGAAUUGAGGGAGAGGGGAGGACACACACACACACAC
Melospiza georgiana is the source of this 1429-nucleotide long non-coding RNA. RefSeq lists it as uncharacterized. The transcript is spliced from 3 exons. Lineage: Eukaryota; Metazoa; Chordata; Aves; Passeriformes; Passerellidae. The record is from RefSeq and is a predicted model, not a curated record.